RNAcentral lists this ribosomal RNA (253 nucleotides) under uncultured bacterium. RNAcentral describes it as "partial 16S ribosomal RNA". It matches the Rfam family "Bacterial small subunit ribosomal RNA", at positions 524 to 776 of the family's 1533-position model. The record is from RNAcentral.
UACGGGGGGGGCAAGCGUUGUUCGGAAUUACUGGGCGUAAAGGGCUCGUAGGCGGCCAACUAAGUCGGACGUGAAAUCCCCAGGCUCAACCUGGGAACUGCGUCCGAUACUGGAUGGCUUGAAUCCGGGAGAGGGAUGCAGAAUUCCAGGUGUAGCGGUGAAAUGUGUAGAGAUCAGGAGGAACACCGGUGGCGAAGGCGGCCCGCUGGACGGAGACUGACGCUGAGGCGCGAAAGCGUGGGGAGCAAACGGG